GGUGGAAAGUCGCUGCUGGACAUGUAUGAUGAAAUUCUGGAGGAAAACUUGAUCAUGGAACAGCACGCAGGCCUGACGAGCCGCACAAGUGUGCAGGUGCAUGGCUAUUUGAGUGAGGCCCCCAUCCCCAGAAAUGAGAGCCCACUGAAGUAUUGGAAAAGCAACUUGUCUCGCUUUCCUGCCCUGGCCAAAGCAGCAUGCAAGUACCUUUCAGCUCCAUGUACAAGUGUGGACAGCGAACGUCUCUUCUCUGCUGCAUCACACAUUGUUGAUGAAAAAAGAAACAGGAUCCAGUGUGAGAAAGCAGAAAUGCUUCUCUUUGUCAAAAAAAACCUGCCUUUGCUGAUGAAGGAGGCCUAGACUUUAACCUACAGUGUCAUGUGGAAACCCUGUUUCAAUGUUUGGGACAUUAAUUUGAGUACAUUGUGGCUGCUUUAAGUUGGUAAAUGUACACAGACUACCAUGUCUUUUGAGUUAGUUAUGUCACAGUUCUAAUAUUUUGAUUUAGCAUUUUUAUAGAUAGGACUUGAAAUUGACUUGCACUGAUUUGCACCUGUAUAGUGUUUUUUAUGUUUGCUUGGUGGAAACAUUGUUUCAGUGUUGGGACAUUUACUUGAAAAUUACAGUGCAAGUUGGAACUGACAGUCAGGACAUGUUUUUGAUAUUUUUGAUUUAGCCUUUUCACAGAUUUGAGUUGAAAUGCAGUGGAGCUUAAAACUUGUUUUGCAAUUUAAUAAAUGCCUGGUUGCCAUGAAUACUGGUAAGUUUGUUGAGGUAACUUUUUCAGGAUUUUAUUUUGAUUUAUGAUCAUUUUUGUAAUUUAUGAUCCAGACAUUCUCACAGGAGUUUUGUGAGUUGAGGGGUUUAAUUACACACUUGCUACAAGUUGUGAGGGUUGCUAAAAAGUAACACUGUUGGUUACUUGUGUUUUAUGGUAGCCCUGUAACCUUCUUAUUUAGAAGUGAAACACCUUUUGAAAAUAAAGGAAGACAUUCAAGAAUUCUGUUUGCAUGAUUUUAA
Notolabrus celidotus (New Zealand spotty) is the source of this 1020-nucleotide long non-coding RNA. RefSeq lists it as uncharacterized. NCBI's taxonomy places the organism in Eukaryota, Metazoa, Chordata, Actinopteri, Labriformes, Labridae. The record is from RefSeq and is a predicted model, not a curated record. The transcript is spliced from 2 exons.